UUAAUAAGCGGAGGAAAAGAAACUAACAAGGAUUCCCUCAGUAACGGCGAGUGAAGCGGGAAGAGCUCAAAUUUGAAAUCUCCGAUGCCUGCAUCGGCGAGUUGUAGUUGCGAGAAGCACUUUCUAGGUGGAUCGGCGGCGCCUAAGUUGCUUGGAACAGCACGUCGCAGAGGGUGACAACCCCGUCUGUGGCGCCGCCGGCCGCCGACGAUGCGCUUUCGAAGAGUCGGGUUGUUUGGGAAUGCAGCCCAAAACGGGUGGUAAACUCCAUCUAAAGCUAAAUACUGGCGUGAGACCGAUAGCGA
RNAcentral lists this ribosomal RNA (305 nucleotides) under Mycedium elephantotus. RNAcentral describes it as "eukaryotic LSU rRNA". It matches the Rfam family "Eukaryotic large subunit ribosomal RNA", at positions 43 to 343 of the family's 3401-position model. Lineage: Eukaryota; Metazoa; Cnidaria; Anthozoa; Scleractinia; Merulinidae. The record is from RNAcentral.